RNAcentral lists this ribosomal RNA (707 nucleotides) under uncultured bacterium. Its description in RNAcentral is "bacterial SSU rRNA". It matches the Rfam family "Bacterial small subunit ribosomal RNA", at positions 338 to 1033 of the family's 1533-position model. The record is from RNAcentral.
CCUACGGGAGGCAGCAGUGAGGAAUCUUGCGCAAUGGGGGCAACCCUGACGCAGCAACGCCGCGUGAGUGAGGAAGGUCUUCGGAUCGUAAAGCUCUGUCAGUUGGGAAGAAACGGCUGGAGGUUAAUACCCUUCGGUCUUGACGGUACCAACAGAGGAAGCACCGGCUAACUCCGUGCCAGCAGCCGCGGUAAUACGGGGGGUGCAAGCGUUGUUCGGAAUUAUUGGGCGUAAAGAGCGUGUAGGCGGCCUGAUAUGUCAGAUGUGAAAGCCCUGGGCUUAACCCAGGAAGUGCAUUUGAAACUGUCAGGCUCGAGUAGGGGAGAGGGAAGUGGAAUUCCUGGUGUAGAGGUGAAAUUCGUAGAUAUCAGGAGGAACACCGGUGGCGAAGGCGACUUCCUGGCCCUAUACUGACGCUGAGACGCGAGAGCGUGGGUAGCAAACAGGAUUAGAUACCCUGGUAGUCCACGCCGUAAACGAUGUUCACUAGGUGUUGGGGGUAUUGACCCCCUCAGUGCCGGAGCUAACGCAUUAAGUGAACCGCCUGGGGAGUACGGUCGCAAGACUAAAACUCAAAGGAAUUGACGGGGGCCCGCACAAGCGGUGGAGCAUGUGGUUUAAUUCGAUGCAACGCGAAGAACCUUACCUGGGCUUGACAUCCACGGAACCUGCUGGAAACAGUGGGGUGCCCUUCGGGGAGCUAUGAG